UGGGGAAUUUUGGACAAUGGGCGAAAGCCUGAUCCAGCAAUGCCGCGUGCAGGAAGAAGGCCUUCGGGUUGUAAACUGCUUUUGUACGGAACGAAAAGGCUCUUUCUAAUAAAGAGGGCCCAUGACGGUACCGUAAGAAUAAGCACCGGCUAACUACGUGCCAGCAGCCGCGGUAAUACGUAGGGUGCGAGCGUUAAUCGGAAUUACUGGGCGUAAAGCGUGCGCAGGCGGUUCUAUAAGACAGAUGUGAAAUCCCCGGGCUCAACCUGGGAAUGGCAUUUGUGACUGUAGAGCUAGAGUACGGUAGAGGGGGAUGGAAUUCCGCGUGUAGCAGUGAAAUGCGUAGAUAUGCGGAGGAACACCGAUGGCGAAGGCAAUCCCCUGGACCUGUACUGACGCUCAUGCACGAAAGCGUGGGGGGCAAACAGGAUUAGAUACCCACGUAGUCCCUGAGCGGGCUGGCAAGGCGCAU
This 472-nucleotide ribosomal RNA is filed under the name uncultured bacterium. Its description in RNAcentral is "bacterial SSU rRNA". It matches the Rfam family "Bacterial small subunit ribosomal RNA", at positions 355 to 825 of the family's 1533-position model. The record is from RNAcentral.